AACGCGAAGAACCUUACCUGGUCUUGACAUCCUGGGAAUCCCGUAGAGAUAUGGGAGUGCCGCAAGGAACCCAGAGACAGGUGCUGCAUGGCUGUCGUCAGCUCGUGUCGUGAGAUGUUGGGUUAAGUCCCGCAACGAGCGCAACCCUUGUCCUUAGUUGCCAGCAUUUAGUUGGGCACUCUAAGGAGACCGCCGGUGACAAACCGGAGGAAGGUGGGGAUGACGUCAAGUCAUCAUGGCCUUUAUGACCAGGGCUACACACGUGCUACAAUGGUAGAUACAGAGGGUUGCCAACGCGCAAGCGGGAGCCAAUCCCAGAAAGCCGAUCUCAGUUCAGAUUGUGGACUGCAACUCGUCCACAUGAAGUCGGAAUUGCUAGUAAUGGCGCGUCAGCAACAGCGCCGUGAAUACGUUCCCGGGCCUUGUACACACCGCGCAUA
This 440-nucleotide ribosomal RNA is filed under the name uncultured bacterium. RNAcentral describes it as "bacterial SSU rRNA". It matches the Rfam family "Bacterial small subunit ribosomal RNA", at positions 958 to 1398 of the family's 1533-position model. The record is from RNAcentral.